RNAcentral lists this transfer RNA (58 nucleotides) under Neoscona nautica (brown sailor spider). RNAcentral describes it as "tRNA-Pro". The record is from RNAcentral. Lineage: Eukaryota; Metazoa; Arthropoda; Arachnida; Araneae; Araneidae.
AAUUUAUUAGUUUAUUUAAAACAUCUACUUUGGAUGUAGAAAUUUCUUUUAUUAAUAU